RNAcentral lists this ribosomal RNA (254 nucleotides) under uncultured bacterium. RNAcentral's name for it is "partial 16S ribosomal RNA". It matches the Rfam family "Bacterial small subunit ribosomal RNA", at positions 524 to 776 of the family's 1533-position model. The record is from RNAcentral.
GACGAACCGUGCGAACGUUAUUCGGAAUCACUGGGCUUAAAGCGCGUGUAGGCGGAUGGGGACGUCGGUCGCUGAAAUCCCCCGGCUCAACCGGGGAACGGGCACCGAAACGCCCCGUCUCGAGGGACGUAGGGGGACCUGGAACUUCCGGUGGAGCGGUGAAAUGCGCAGAUAUCUGCAGGAACACCCGUGGCGAAAGCGGCGCGCUGGACCACUACUGACGCUGAGGAACGAAAGCUAGGGGAGCAAACAGG